RNAcentral lists this ribosomal RNA (523 nucleotides) under uncultured prokaryote. RNAcentral describes it as "bacterial SSU rRNA". It matches the Rfam family "Bacterial small subunit ribosomal RNA", at positions 355 to 896 of the family's 1533-position model. The record is from RNAcentral.
UGGGGAAUAUUGGACAAUGGGGGCAACCCUGAUCCAGCCAUGCCGCGUGAGUGAUGAAGGCCUUCGGGUUGUAAAGCUCUUUUGGCGGGGACGAUGAUGACGGUACCCGCAGAAUAAGCCCCGGCUAACUUCGUGCCAGCAGCCGCGGUAAGACGAAGGGGGCUAGCGUUGUUCGGAAUUACUGGGCGUAAAGCGAGUGUAGGUGGUUGUCGUAGUCAGGCGUGAAAGCCUCGAGCUCAACUCGAGAAAUGCGCUUGAUACUGGGCAGCUAGAGGACCGGAGAGGAUAGUGGAAUUCCCAGUGUAGUGGUGAAAUACGUAGAGAUUGGGAAGAACACCAGUGGCGAAGGCGGCUAUCUGGACGGUUUCUGACACUAAGACUCGAAAGCGUGGGGAGCAAACAGGAUUAGAUACCCUGGUAGUCCACGCCGUAAACGAUGGGUGCUAGACGUUGGCGGGCUUGCCCGUCAGUGUCGCAGCUAACGCGUUAAGCACCCCGCCUGGGGAGUACGGCCGCAAGGUUG